This 503-nucleotide ribosomal RNA is filed under the name uncultured bacterium. RNAcentral describes it as "partial 16S ribosomal RNA". It matches the Rfam family "Bacterial small subunit ribosomal RNA", at positions 30 to 523 of the family's 1533-position model. The record is from RNAcentral.
AUUGAACGCUGGCGGCAGGCUUAACACAUGCAAGUCGAGCGGGGUGAUGGUGCUUGCACUAUCACUUAGCGGCGGACGGGUGAGUAAUGCUUAGGAAUCUGCCUAUUAGUGGGGGACAACAUCUCGAAAGGGAUGCUAAUACCGCAUACGCCCUACGGGAGAAAGCAGGGGAUCACUUGUGACCUUGCGCUAAUAGAUGAGCCUAAGUCGGAUUAGCUAGUUGGUGGGGUAAAGGCCUACCAAGGCGACGAUCUGUAGCGGGUCUGAGAGGAUGAUCCGCCACACUGGGACUGAGACACGGCCCAGACUCCUACGAGAGGCAGCAGUGGGGAAUAUUGGACAAUGGGGGGAACCCUGAUCCAGCCAUGCCGCGUGUGUGAAGAAGGCCUUAUGGUUGUAAAGCACUUCAAGCGAGGAGGAGGCUCUUUUGGAUAAUACCCAAGAUGAGUGGACGUUACUCGCAGAAUAAGCACCGGCUAACUCUGUGCCAGCCGCCGCGGUAA